Molecule: transfer RNA, 64 nt
Filed under: Cavia porcellus (domestic guinea pig)
Lineage: Eukaryota; Metazoa; Chordata; Mammalia; Rodentia; Caviidae
Rfam family: tRNA
About the family: Transfer RNA (tRNA) molecules are approximately 80 nucleotides in length.
Source: Rfam by way of RNAcentral
GGGGAUUUAGCUCAGCGGCAUAAGUACCUGCUUUGCAAGCAGGUGGUCGUGAGUUCAAUCCCCG